GGAAGAUGAAUAGUUAUCUGCCACCCCUUGCCUUUUAUCCCCAGAGCGAGGGUGGGGCCUUGCUAGCAGUGGUGGCCAAGGAUUGGCCCACCGCUUUCCAUUGCUCUCUUCUCUGCCUUCUGCGCAGCCACAUGUCUGUUCUGACCCAAACCUGGUUCCAAGAGAACAAACACAAGACAAAGGCAGCAGUAUAACCUUUUUAUGUUUAAGUUAAGAAUCCUGUUUCUUUACAGAUAAAAGGCUGCUUCCAACUAAUUAGCUCUGACAAGAAAGAGCCUUGCCAAGUUUUUUUUCAAGUCUGUCAAAAAACAACAGAUAAGAAAUAGUUUACAAGAGUCUUCAAAUACCAACUGUAAUGUCCACGAGGCUGAGUUCAAAACGUCUUUGCCUUCUGCAAAGAAGGUUAGUUUCACAGCUGGCUUUUAUCUUCUUGAAGGAGGGGCCAUUACCUUGCAGCCUUACUCGCGAGUCACCUGUGCUGUUGUAACUGCUCUUUCCUCCGAGCAAUCCUGUGCACAUGCACACUUAGCACAGGUUCCUCGGGAACCUCAUCACUGCUGCCAGCCCCCAGAAUCCCUAAAGGCAGCAGUCUACUCCCUAAUGGUCCUGGCCCCUCAUCUGAGUCCUCGGUCUCCACAGCCAUCUGUACCUGCUGUCGGCUAACCACAACAAUGUCAGGCACUGGACCCAGAUGUUCCUCCUCUUCUUCAUCAACCACCUUCAGACCUGGGGGCUGUUGACUCUCCAUCUGAAGGCUGACGGAUGGCCCAGGCUCCACCUCUAUCUCUCUCUCUCUUCUCUGCCAGCUCCAUUCCCUCUUCCCCAGUUCCCGGGUUGCCCUGAUGCCGACCCUGACUCCCACACUUCCUCCUCCUCCUCCUCCUCUGAUUCGGCUGCUGGAGGAAUUUCCAGUAUUCCGGACAGCAGGGAUAAGGGUGCUUCGGGGUGGCCAUUCAGUAAGGGCUACAACGGCCCUCAGAAAUUCAUUGCUCGGCACCGAAAAGCGUCCUGUUCCUCGAAAAGUUGUGGGAUUUGGGGCUCUUUCGGGCACAACCAGCUACUCUUUUAACCACGCACCAUCUUAAAGGUCUGCCAUUUUUUUGGUUUUGUUUAGACUUGUAUUUUCUUCUCUGCCCCGCGGACGACGACACUACAUGACCCACACAUGUCCCAAAUACUGAAGGGUUCGUCUGAAGGUUUCUAGUCUGGCCUUCUCUGGGACAAGCUUUACACGUGCGCACGGCUGGAAAUGGAAGAUUAGGCCUCCAGAUCGCUUCGAAGUAAACAAGCCUACAAACUCGGCUGUCAAACAUGAUAAAUGUGUACCCAACGGCAGUAGAAGCUCCUCGGGGCUGGGGCUUUUUAUGACUGGGCGUGCGCGAGCGAGGUGGGGGGGAAGAGAAGGAGAGGCGGAAUCCCAGCCGACCGCCUCUCUCAAGCUGGGGGAAGGGACUCUCCCCCGCCCAAUGGCGAAAAUAGCAAGCCCCGCCUCUUCACAGCGGGAGGGCGAGGGAGGUGCCGUUCCUAUUGCCUUAGCAGCCCGAGCGCGCGCUUUUGCAGCUGGAUACUAUUUUAGCCACUGAACGUGCUCCCGCCCUUAGUGAUAAGGUUGGGCUCCUCUCAGCUUCUUUGCCAGCGGCUCUUCUUUCGCGAUUGGCUCUCUCUCUCCCCCCCUCCCUUGGGUCUUCCUCCUUCCCAUCCUCGUCUCUUGGCCUCCAGCGCCAACUCUUCCCGGUUUGGUUUCGGAUUGGUCAAGCUUGCAUCCCAACUCCUCCUUUCAAGCGUUGCGAUUGGAUAGGCGGCCCGGUCGCUGGGAUCUCUGAUUGGACGCCGCUCUUCCCUCGUUGGGCCACCGCUCUUGACAUAAGCCCCAACCUGCAGCUCUGGCUGUUCUGUCGCGGGGGGGGGGAGCUGUUUCCACGUGGGGAGUGGCACGUAGUCACUUUCCGCCCUGCCUGUAAGCCGAAGCGAAGGAGGUUGAGAGCUUUUGCCCGAAUCACGUGGGGCGGUGAGGGGAAGCGGAAUGGAGUGAUCCCUCCGAUUUCUCAAUUGGAAGCGCUUUUGUUGCGUGGCCGCAGCGAUGCUUUUUUUCAAGCGGGAGGGGGAAACUUCAGGCGCAGAUGCUCUCCCGCCCGUCCCGCGGUUGCUGUCAGCUGCCUCUUGAAUGCAUGCAAAACAAACAAGACUUAACCUUGUGGCUGAUGCGCGUGCUUCCUCUUCCUCCCAUUAGUUGUUUAAAACAUAAAAGCUGUCAUAAUAAAUGCUGUUGCGUUUUAUCUUCCAGAACCUGAUCUUUUUUUUCCGAAUAUGCUAAGUAAUCUAGCCUCUGAUUUUCCAGCCAGUAAUACGACUCGAGUCUAGGAAAAUUUAGGCCGCGCUCAGGGAAAACCAGUCGAGGCUUUACAGCAGCAGAAUAGACAGCAG
Long non-coding RNA from Naja naja (Indian cobra), 2424 nucleotides. NCBI's taxonomy places the organism in Eukaryota, Metazoa, Chordata, Lepidosauria, Squamata, Elapidae. The record is from Ensembl.